Long non-coding RNA from Lemur catta (Ring-tailed lemur), 1532 nucleotides. RefSeq lists it as uncharacterized. The transcript has 2 exons. Lineage: Eukaryota; Metazoa; Chordata; Mammalia; Primates; Lemuridae. The record is from RefSeq and is a predicted model, not a curated record.
AGUCAUGUUUGCAUUGGCUACAGCAGUUUGCGAGCGGUGCCAGAAAACACUGUGUGCUUAGAGCAGCCCCAAGUUUCUCUAGGAGCAGGUCCUUCCUGGGGGAAGAUGACCUUCAUGUUCUGCGGGCUCCCAUCUCUUCCUGGCUUACUCCUGAAAGUCUGAAGAUUCUAAAUUUGACAUUUUUCUUCCUGUAUUCCUAAAUGAGGAUAUUCUCCUCGUUUCAGAAACUGCUUAUUUUGAUGAAAUCAGAAGAGAUCUUAUGCAUAUAUUCAUAAAUAAAUUAAAUCUCUCUAUGUUGAUGGAGAAAAGUUAAAAUGAAUAUUUAAGAGACAUCUGGGUAGCAGCCCUCUGUGCAGUUUCUCAUCCGUGGAAACUCAGAGGAAGGAGAAAACGUUCAAUACCAACAACCACGGCUGAAGACAACCUAAUGUUUCAGCCAAAUGUUUGGACAAACAGUUGCUGAUUACAGAGCAGGUGAUGCUCAAGAGAGAAAAGCCAACCUAGGAAACGCCGGCUCGUGGAGAGAGAGCCCUAGGAAGGGGAGGACACUCCUCCCUCUCCGCCCACCUGCCCACUGUCUCAGGGACCCAGGACCCGAACUAACCAGAAAUUCAAGGGCACAAGAAUGAAGAAGUCAUGGCACAAAAGGAUGAGUGGAACUACACAUUGAAGUUUAGGACACUCAAUGGCAACCACAUAUACGGGGUAGAUUAAAAAUUCACAGCACAUGCCCAGAGGAAGAUGCAGCCUCAAAAAAGACCUCACAAGGCCUUACAUUUACACUUCAAGCUGACUGUUGGCACUGAGGCAGCCUAGAACAGUCAGAAAACCAAACCCAAAACAAGCGAAAUUUGGGAAAUGGGGAGAAUCUGGUUUACAGAGUUACUGUAUUGUUAGACCAAAUGUGCAAUUUUCAAAAAAAUAAUCACAAGGCAUGCAAGGAAACAGGAAAGUAUGACCCAUUUAAAGAAAAAAAUAAACCAACAGAAACUAUUCCUAAAAAAGACCUGAUGGUGGAACUAAUCGACAAAGACUUUUAUAAAACUAUCUUAAAGAUGUUCAAAGAACUAAAAGAUGACAUAGAAAAGUCAAGAAAACAAUGUGUGAACAAAAUGUUUCAUCAGAGAUAGAAAACCUAAAAAGAAAUAAAAAAGAUAUUCUGGAGCUGAAAAGUACAAUAACUGAAAUGAAAAAUUCACUAGAGGGACUCAAAGGCAGAUUUGAGCAGGCAGAAGGCAGAACCAGUAACUUGAAGACAGGAUAAUUGUGUGUGAGGAACUGAAAAAAAAAAAAAAAAAAAAAGAUUUAAGAAAAGUGAACAGAGCCUAAAGGACUUGUGGGAUACCAUCAAGCUGACCAAAAAUAACUGUGCUAGUCCAAGAAGAAGAAAAGAGAAAACAGCAAAGAGAAUAUAUGAAGAAAUAAUAUCUAAAAACUCCCCAAAUUUGAUGAAUACAUGAAUAUAAACAUCCAAGAAGCAUGGAUGUAGGAUGGACAUGGAAGUAGGAUGAACUCAAAGAGACCCUCACUAA